This 338-nucleotide long non-coding RNA is filed under the name Elaeis guineensis (African oil palm). Its description in RNAcentral is "long non-coding RNA (EGUI_LNC019817)". The record is from RNAcentral. Lineage: Eukaryota; Viridiplantae; Streptophyta; Magnoliopsida; Arecales; Arecaceae.
GGGCCACUAGAGGAUCUUUCCGACCUCUCUUCUUUCCAGGGGUCUUCUUUCCUUCUACCUGCUUGCGCACCACACAGGCUUCUUCUAUUUGGAUGUACUUUCAGACUCGGACCAACAGAUCAGCAUAAUCCCUUGAAAAGUUAUUAUCGAGGGAAAAGAUGAGGAGCUCGUUUCGUAAUCCUCACUUGAGCACCGACAUUAUCACUGACUCAUUGAAGUUAUACACCUCAAGCAUGGUAGCAUUGAAUCAUGUGACAAAGUCAUGCAGUGACUCACCCUCCUCCUACUAGAGAGAGAAGAGGCUAUCAAAAUUUUUUGCUUGAGCUCGACUGCUGCCA